AAAUAAAAAAACCCAAACCCAAUUUUAUUUUCCCUCUGUAACUCUCUCUCCUCUCAGACCCAUACCCAAAACCUCUCUGUAAGUCUCUUCCGAAACCCCAAACGACUCCCUCUGUAAGUCUCUCUCCUCUCAGACCUCAAUCCCCAAACCCCAAACGACUCAACCCCAAACGUCUUGCAGACUAAAACCCAAACCCCAAUCUUCGAAACCCCAAACACAGACGGCCCCUCCAAGCUCCUUCAAGCUCCAUCAUAGACGGCGUCUCCAAGCUCUCCUCCGAUCUUCCUCUCGGCAUUCUACGGUAUAUAUAUAUAGUUUAUUUUAUUAUUAAUAUUCUUAACUUAAUUUGAGAUUUUGUCUACAAGAAGACUAUCAAGUGUUGAGAUUGACGGUUCCGGUUCUUCGAAGCUUCAUCGGAGACGUUCUUCCAAGCUCCAUCGUAGACGGUUCUUCCGAUCUUCCUCUCCAUCUACGUCAAGGUUUAAGGCCUUGUACGUGGUAUUGCUAUCUUCUUUCUAGAUGGACUCCUCAAUUUCAAUGCAGUCAAGGUUGUGGGUUUGCUUUCAUAACAGUUGAUUGCUUUUAUUUUCUCUUGGCAUCUCCUUUGUCACGAGUUGUUCAGACUUAAGAUCCGUUAGUGGGCAUUACAAAAUAAAAAUGCAAACAAAAGUACUGAAAAGGAGGCUCAAAGUCUAUUGUGUGUACUAAAAAGUCCAAGUAUCUCAAAUAUAGACAUGAUACUCUUGCAGGGCUAGUCCAUAAAAAUUUGUUAUUCCUUUAGCCAAGCACUACAAGACAGUGUGUUGAAACCAAAUAUCUCUUGGCAUGCAUUUUCAUAUGAUGUUUGAAGCCGAAGAGUCUGGAACAAGAAGGUAUAUAGGUACAAUCACGGAUAUUAGUGAUCUUGACCCGCUAGAUGGAAGAAUUCACAAUGGCGUAAUUUGCGGGUUGGUUGGGACGAAUCAACUGCUAGGGAAAGGUGUAAUAGGGUCUCAAUCUAGGAGAUUGAACCUGUAUUUUUUAUUUGAGUAAAUGAUUCUUUUUUGAGUUAUUAAUUAUUUACUUUGUAAAUCUAGUUAUAUAGUUUUAAAGUCAAGACGAUUAUGUUUAUAGACAAGACUAUGAUUUUUGAGUCAAGUAGUAGGGUUAUAUUUGUCCAAAAUUUGUAUUAUUAGAUUUGUAAAUACUUUGUAUAAGUCUUGUUAUUUUAAUUUAUAAUUUUUUAGAUUUGUA
Molecule: long non-coding RNA, 1233 nt
Organism: Humulus lupulus (European hop)
Lineage: Eukaryota; Viridiplantae; Streptophyta; Magnoliopsida; Rosales; Cannabaceae
Exons: 6
Source: RefSeq, a predicted model, not a curated record